This 502-nucleotide ribosomal RNA is filed under the name uncultured Lactobacillus sp. RNAcentral's name for it is "bacterial SSU rRNA". It matches the Rfam family "Bacterial small subunit ribosomal RNA", at positions 62 to 526 of the family's 1533-position model. Lineage: Bacteria; Bacillati; Bacillota; Bacilli; Lactobacillales; Lactobacillaceae. The record is from RNAcentral.
CCUUGAAGAUCGGAGUGCUUGCACUCUGUGAAACAAGAUACAGGCUAGCGGCGGACGGGUGAGUAACACGUGGGUAACCUGCCCAAGAGAUCGGGAUAACACCUGGAAACAGAUGCUAAUACCGGAUAACAACAGAUGAUGCCUAUCAACUGUUUAAAAGAUGGUUCUGCUAUCACUCUUGGGAUGGGACCUGCGGUGCAUUAGCUAGUUGGGUAGGGGUAACGGGCCUACCAAGGCGAUGAUGCAUAGCCGAGUUGAGAGACUGAUCGGCCACAUUGGGACUGAGACACGGCCCAAACUCCUACGGGAGGCAGCAGUAGGGGAAUCUUCCACAAUGGACGCAAGUCUGAUGGAGCAACGCCGCGUGAGUGAAGAAGGGUUUCGGCUCGUAAAGCUCUGUUGUUGGUGAAGAAGGACAGGGGGUAGUAACUGACCUUUGUUUGACGGUAAUCAAUUAGAAAAGUCACGGGCUAACUACGUGCCCAGUAGCCGCGGGUAAAAU